UUAUUGUCAUUUAUAUAAUCAUUUGGUUAUUCGUGGAUACCAUCAGGGAUACCAGAUGUGUUACCUACUGCACUAUAUUCUCAGAAAAUACUUUUUUGGAUUUGCACAAGGUUUUGUUGAUGUAUUUGUUAUCUUCUCAUAGAUAUGUUCGUGGUGGACUUGAUUCAUCUUAAAGAUUGACUUCAAGCUUAUCAUGGACGAGUUAUACUUGAAGAAGGAGUUUAUGAUUUCUCCUAUGUAUAAGUCAAGUCUUUCCGGAAGUCGAAGCUGGCAGUUUUUAUUCUCUUUUGCUACUACAUUAUUUUUGUACUUCGUUGAGAUCAUACUUUCGUUGUGCGUAUGAUCUGUUGAUUUGGUUUUGUGACGUCUUGUUACUGCUUUUUUACUAAGCUUGUGUCUGGUAUUUUGCUUUUCCAUGUUGGCUUUGAGCAAGAUACGUUGGUUGGUGGUUUUCUUGGUUCUUUGAAGUAUUGUGUUGUAACUUGUAAGGGAUUAGGUGUGUUCGUCGGGGUUCACAUCUAGAAGGUUAGUUCUAUCUAGCUUUCAAUAUUUCACUAUCACUGAAGGUUGGUUUGGGAUGUUAUAGAGGCGUAGAAAGGUCGAGUAUUUUUAUAAGUCAUAUUGUAACUUAUCUUCUCAUAGUGGAACGUUUUCCCUGGGCGAGGCCCCC
RNAcentral lists this long non-coding RNA (670 nucleotides) under Salvia miltiorrhiza (redroot sage). RNAcentral's name for it is "long non-coding RNA (SMIL_LNC001806)". The record is from RNAcentral. Lineage: Eukaryota; Viridiplantae; Streptophyta; Magnoliopsida; Lamiales; Lamiaceae.